UGCGUAGAGAUCUGGAGGAAUACCGAUGGCGAAGGCAGCCUUCUGGCAUAAUACUGACACUGAGGCUCGAAAGCGUGGGUAGCAAACAGGAUUAGAUACCCUGGUAGUCCACGCCGUAAACGAUGUCUACUAGUCGUUGGGUCCCUUGAGGACUUAGUGACGCAGCUAACGCAAUAAGUAGACCGCCUGGGGAGUACGGCCGCAAGGUUAAAACUCAAAUGAAUUGACGGGGGCCCGCACAAGCGGUGGAGCAUGUGGUUUAAUUCGAUGCAACGCGAAGAACCUUACCUGGUCUUGACAUAUCUAGAAUCCUGCAGAGAUGCGGGAGUGCCUUCGGGAAUUAGAAUACAGGUGCUGCAUGGCUGUCGUCAGCUCGUGUCGUGAGAUGUUGGGUUAAGUCCCGCAACGAGCGCAACCCUUGUCCUUAGUUACCAGCGGGUUAAGCCGGGAACUCUAAGGAUACUGCCAGUGACAAACUGGAGGAAGGCGGGGACGACGUCAAGUCAUCAUGGCCCUUACGACCAGGGCUACACACGUGCUACAAUGGUAGGUACAGAGGGCAGCUACACAGCGAUGUGAUGCGAAUCUCAAAAAGCCUAUCGUAGUCCAGAUUGGAGUCUGCAACUCGACUCCA
RNAcentral lists this ribosomal RNA (634 nucleotides) under Psychrobacter sp. RNAcentral describes it as "bacterial SSU rRNA". It matches the Rfam family "Bacterial small subunit ribosomal RNA", at positions 687 to 1320 of the family's 1533-position model. The record is from RNAcentral. Lineage: Bacteria; Pseudomonadati; Pseudomonadota; Gammaproteobacteria; Moraxellales; Moraxellaceae.